CGUGCAUGAGCGUCAGUGCAGGCCCAGGGGAUUGCCUUCGCCAUCGGUGUUCCUCCGCAUAUCUACGCAUUUCACUGCUACACGCGGAAUUCCAUCCCCCUCUGCCGCACUCUAGCCUUGCAGUCACAAUGGCAGUUCCCAGGUUGAGCCCGGGGAUUUCACCACUGUCUUACAAAACCGCCUGCGCACGCUUUACGCCCAGUAAUUCCGAUUAACGCUUGCACCCUACGUAUUACCGCGGCUGCUGGCACGUAGUUAGCCGGUGCUUAUUCUUACGGUACCGUCAUGACCCGGGGAUAUUAGCCCCAGGCUUUUCGUUCCGUACAAAAGCAGUUUACAACCCGAGGG
This 348-nucleotide ribosomal RNA is filed under the name Comamonas thiooxydans. Its description in RNAcentral is "partial 16S rRNA". Lineage: Bacteria; Pseudomonadati; Pseudomonadota; Betaproteobacteria; Burkholderiales; Comamonadaceae. The record is from RNAcentral.